Molecule: ribosomal RNA, 250 nt
Filed under: uncultured bacterium
Lineage: Bacteria
Description: partial 16S ribosomal RNA
Rfam family: Bacterial small subunit ribosomal RNA
Source: RNAcentral
UGGGGAAUAUUGCGCAAUGGGCGAAAGCCUGACGCAGCCAAUCCGCGUGGGUGAUGAAGGCCUUCGGGUUGUAAAGCCCUGUCGUGUGGGAAGAAUAAUGACGGUACCACACAAGAAAGCACCGGCUAACCCCGUGCCAGCAGCCGCGGUAAUACGGGGGGUGCAAGCGUUGCUCGGAAUCACUGGGCGUAAAGCGUCCGCAGGCUGAUCUGCAGGUCGGGUGUGAAAUCCCGGGGCUCAACCCCGGAAC